GCAACCAAUCUGACAUUGUCCGACGCGGCCAAGGCCAAGCUUGCAAGCGAGGCGAAGACACCCGAUUUCGCGACGGUCACCAAUGACGCACGCGCGGCGCUGGACAAGCUCUAUGCCGCGGCGAAAGUGAAGGGCCCGAUUGUCGACGGCAAGACCACGGUUGAUCUUUCGGCGCUGGAUCGCCGCUCGCUGUUUGCCAUCGCCACCAACAACGGCGGAAAAUUCACGCCCGACGAACAAAG
Molecule: unclassified non-coding RNA, 242 nt
Filed under: Hevea brasiliensis (rubber tree)
Lineage: Eukaryota; Viridiplantae; Streptophyta; Magnoliopsida; Malpighiales; Euphorbiaceae
Source: RNAcentral